This is a long non-coding RNA of Eucalyptus grandis, 785 nucleotides long. RefSeq lists it as uncharacterized. The record is from RefSeq and is a predicted model, not a curated record. NCBI's taxonomy places the organism in Eukaryota, Viridiplantae, Streptophyta, Magnoliopsida, Myrtales, Myrtaceae. The transcript has 2 exons.
GGCGAGCGAGUUCGGUUGACUGUGAGUGAGUGUGUGGGGUUUGCAGCGGCCGUGUUGAAGGGUGGUUGGGCGGGCAAAGGUUGGAUCUUUCGGUUUCUCCCCCCGAGCACUUAAGCACUUAUAAUUUUUCUCAAUCUGGCAAGAAAUAAUUAUUAAAUUUCGCUCUCAAAUCUCAAUUUCGGAACUCUUCUCUCCGUCCAUCACUACAAUACCAAAAUAGUCCACCGCCAGUUCAUCACGUACUGAGAGAGAGCACGAGAGAUACAUUCAUGGAAUAAAUAUACAAUUAACCGUCACUAGUUGCUCUCUUCAAAUCUGACCAAACCCUUCUCUUGCUCUGCUUUGCCAUGUAUGAGCAGUAGCAUAUUCAUCCCGGUUCAUUCUCUUUCCGGGUCUUCCAAGAACUAACCAUUGGGCUCUCAAUACAGAGGUACAUCCUCAAUUGGUUGAUUCAUUCUCAAGUGAACGCUGAUGCUUUGAGAACUUCGGUGGAUCCAUCCAAAGUUCCGCGGACCUACAGAAUUGGAGGUUGCAGAUGAUACAUUGCAUGAUGCACCUGGAAUAAACAUGCUUAGGACAAGGAUUGCAAAUAAAAUGGCGAGGGAUCAUAAUAUGCCUGAAAUUUCAUGACUUUGUGUUUUUGACUUUUAUAAUUUUGUUUUUAAGUAUUCACUUAUCAAAUCCAAUGUGAUGAAGUUGAACAAUGAACUAUAUUACUUCAUUAUUAUGAUGUUAUGUAUGAAAGGGUCUACGUAGAGAUCUAUGAAGUAUUCUUCUUUUAGGUA